GACGAACGCUGGCGGCGUGCUUUACACAUGCAAGUCGAACGGAAAGGCCCUGCUUUUGUGGGGUGCUCGAGUGGCGAACGGGUGAGUAACACGUGAGUAACCUGCCCUUGACUUUGGGGUAACUUCAGGAAACUGGGGCUAAUACCGGAUAGGAGCUCCUGCUGCAUGGUGGGGGUUGGAAAGUUUCGGCGGUUGGGGAUGGACUCGCGGCUUAUCAGCUUGUUGGUGGGGUAGUGGCUUACCAAGGCUUUGACGGGUAGCCGGCCUGAGAGGGUGACCGGCCACAUUGGGACUGAGAUACGGCCCAGACUCCUACGGGAGGCAGCAGUGGGGAAUAUUGCACAAUGGGCGGAAGCCUGAUGCAGCAACGCCGCGUGCGGGAUGACGGCCUUCGGGUUGUAAACCGCUUUCGCCUGUGACGAAGCGUGAGUGACGGUAAUGGGUAAAGAAGCACCGGCUAACUACGUG
RNAcentral lists this ribosomal RNA (468 nucleotides) under uncultured bacterium. RNAcentral's name for it is "partial 16S ribosomal RNA". It matches the Rfam family "Bacterial small subunit ribosomal RNA", at positions 28 to 507 of the family's 1533-position model. The record is from RNAcentral.